AACGAACGCUGGCGGCAGGCUUAACACAUGCAAGUCGAGCGAGAUCUUCGGAUCUAGCGGCGGACGGGUGAGUAACGCGUGGGAACGUGCCCUUUUCUACGGGAUAGCCUCGGGAAACUGAGAGUAAUACCGUAUACGCGCAGGAAUGGGGAAAGAUUUAUCGGAGAAGGAUCGACCCGCGUUAGAUUAGGUAGUUGGUGGGGUAAUUGCCUACCAAGCCGACGAUCUAUAGCUGGUUUGAGAGGAUGAUCAGCCACACUGGGACUGAGACACGGCCCAGACUCCUACGGGAGGCAGCAGUGGGGAAUCUUAGACAAUGGGGGCAACCCUGAUCUAGCCAUGCCGCGUGAGUGAUGAAGGCCUUAGGGUUGUAAAGCUCUUUCAGCGGGGAAGAUAAUGACGGUACCAGCAGAAGAAGCCCCGGCUAACUCCGUGCCAGCCGCCGCGGUAA
This 451-nucleotide ribosomal RNA is filed under the name uncultured bacterium. RNAcentral's name for it is "partial 16S ribosomal RNA". It matches the Rfam family "Bacterial small subunit ribosomal RNA", at positions 29 to 523 of the family's 1533-position model. The record is from RNAcentral.